GAGUGAGCAAGAGAGAGAGAGAUAACCUAACAGAAGAGAGAAAGAGAGUUUCCGCUGGCUUCGGCUAAAGCUGCAGACUCAAAACCAUAUGCUUGUCAUAGCGCUGUGUGUGUGCGUCUGUGUGUGUGUGUGUGUGUGCUAGGUGGGCAGGGCUUAGCUGGAGGAAAACUGCUCAGACUGGGAUCCUGCUGCUCAGACAGCAGGAUCCCCGGGACAAACGGAGAGCAGAUAGACAGAGUGAGGAUGACAGGUACAGACGGAGACAGAGGAAGACGGGCAGAGACACGGUCGAGAAGGAGACAGGAGGAGAUAAUGAGGAAGCGGAGGAAUGAAAGGCUUGCUCGAAGAGACUGUCAUCCAACUCUGCAGUUCCCCUCAGCUCUAUGGAGCUUUAUUAAAGACGUACCGCCACAGUCCUGUCAGAUGAACUCAACACCACCAAUGAUGUUCUAAACGUGUUCAUUGAUUUUAAACUGGA
Dicentrarchus labrax (European seabass) is the source of this 478-nucleotide long non-coding RNA. RefSeq lists it as uncharacterized. Lineage: Eukaryota; Metazoa; Chordata; Actinopteri; Moronidae. The transcript has 3 exons. The record is from RefSeq and is a predicted model, not a curated record.